AGCAGCAUGGCGCAGUGGUAGCGUGCGGGGCCCAUAUAUCGAUGGAAUGGUUGCUUGACUCCGAGGUCACUUGAUCGAAACAAGUUGCUGCUA
Non-coding RNA from Guyanagaster necrorhizus, 93 nucleotides. Lineage: Eukaryota; Fungi; Basidiomycota; Agaricomycetes; Agaricales; Physalacriaceae. The record is from the annotation of a RefSeq genome assembly.